This 446-nucleotide ribosomal RNA is filed under the name uncultured eukaryote. Its description in RNAcentral is "bacterial SSU rRNA". It matches the Rfam family "Eukaryotic small subunit ribosomal RNA", at positions 1213 to 1669 of the family's 1831-position model. The record is from RNAcentral.
ACUCACCAGGUCAGGACACGGUAAGGAUUGACGGACUGAAGGCUCUUUCUCGAUUCCGUGGAAAGUGGUGCAUGGCCGUUUUGGUUGGUGGAUCGAUCCGUCUGGUUAAUUCCGUUAACGAACGAGACCUCGGCACUCCGAAUAGCGCGGCGGACGUCGCGGCCUCCGGGCCGUCUUCCGCACGAGCUUCUUAGAGGGGACCGUCCCCCCGCCGGGGAAGGAGGUGCGAGGCAACGACAGGUCUGUGAUGCCCUUAGAUGUUCUGGGCCGCACGCGCAUUACACUGACGCGUCCAACGGGUGACUCCCGACCCGAAGGGGCCGGGGAAUCCGCAAGGCGCGUCGUGAUGGGGAUUGAACGUUGCAAUUGUUGUUCACGAACGAGGAAUUCCUAGUAGGCGCGGGUCAUCAACCCGCGCCGAUUACGUCCCUGCCCUUUGUACACAC